CUUGGUCAUUUAGAGGAAGUAAAAGUCGUAACAAGAUUUCCGUAGGUGAACCUGCGGAAGGAUCAUUAAAGAAUGCCCCGUUUUUUGAAAUGGGUUCUGUUCCCAAACCGUGUAUACAUACUUUUGUUGCUUUGGCAGGCCGCCUUCGGGCGUCGGCUCACGCUGACAGCGCCUGCCAGAGGACCCAAACUCGUUUGUUUAGUGAUGUCUGAGUACUAUAUAAUAGUUAAAACUUUCAACAACGGAUCUCUUGGUUCUGGCAUCGAUGAAGAACGCAGCGAAAUGCGAUAAGUAAUGUGAAUUGCAGAAUUCAGUGAAUCAUCGAAUCUUUGAACGCACAUUGCGCCCCUUGGUAUUCCGAGGGGCAUGCCUGUUCGAGCGUCAUUAUGACCACUCAAGCCUAGCUUGGUAUUGGGGUUCGCGGUCCCGCGGCCCUUAAAAUCAGUGGCGGUGCCAUCUGGCUCUAAGCGUAGUAAUUUAUCUCGCUAUUGGGUCCGGUGGUUGCUUGCCAACAACCCCUAACUUUUAAGGUUGACCUCGGAUCAGGUAGGGAUACCCGCUGAACUUAAGCAUAUCAAUAAGCGGAGGA
Molecule: small RNA, 589 nt
Filed under: uncultured Rhizoscyphus
Lineage: Eukaryota; Fungi; Ascomycota; Leotiomycetes; Helotiales; Helotiaceae
Description: eukaryotic LSU rRNA
Rfam family: 5.8S ribosomal RNA (bases 231-384)
Source: RNAcentral